RNAcentral lists this long non-coding RNA (695 nucleotides) under Daucus carota (carrot). Its description in RNAcentral is "long non-coding RNA (DCAR_LNC002957)". Lineage: Eukaryota; Viridiplantae; Streptophyta; Magnoliopsida; Apiales; Apiaceae. The record is from RNAcentral.
GCCGCAAUGAGCAUUCAUCACAGUUUAUCUAAACUACAAGUGGCCCACGAGAGGGAGCAUCAUCAACUGUGUUCCAUGAUUCAUCAACCAAAAGAGACCCUAAACCAUAGCAAAAAAGAGAGAGAAGAAAUCAAUUACAACAAUGACACCAAAAGCUCUGAUCCGCAGGAAAUAAGUUCCUGAACCAGAUAUCUGUCUAAAGGCCUUAUAAAUCAUAAAACUAAACUCCCAAGCCAUUGCAUACUAAAAUCAGGUAUAGAAGUUAAUUCACUAUACAAGCUAAACAGAAUCAAGUGCAACAAUGAUACCAAAGGCUCAGGUUUGCAGGAAAUAGGUUCCCAACCCCAGAUCUCUAUAUAAAGGUCCUGCAAUAUCAUCAUAAAUCAUAAUACUAAAUUACCAAGGGCAUUUCAUACAAAAAUCAGGUAUAUAAGUCAAUUCAAAUAAUUAAAAAUGAACUCAUCAUGUAAGACAGUAAAACUAAAUGCCAACACCAAACCCAACGAAUUAACUUUAUGCCUGGAACAUUUUUGAAAAUUGUGCGCACUACAGAUGCACUCUGGCCACAAUACAAUCAAAAAUUCUUCCUCCUCCCACAGGUUGGAAAAAAUGUCAACAACCAGCAAGUUGCUCUGUUUGAGCUUUUUUCUCUCUCCCCUUUCACCACUACUUUUGAUCUGCCAUACAUAUUUUAA